CAGUCAUGCUAGUGAAAAUUCAGUUUGGUGGGUUUUGGGUUCAGGAGUUGAGGCAGGGUCAAACCGUUUUUCUUUUGAACUUGGAAUUUGUCAGAUGCACUUUUUCUUUGGCAGGUCAGCGUCGAUUUCGGAGGUUGACGAAAUGACGUUAAACGACCCGUCUUGAAACACAGACCAAGGAGUCUAACAUAUGUGCGAGUG
RNAcentral lists this ribosomal RNA (201 nucleotides) under Diversispora celata. The record is from RNAcentral. Lineage: Eukaryota; Fungi; Glomeromycota; Glomeromycetes; Diversisporales; Diversisporaceae.